RNAcentral lists this ribosomal RNA (501 nucleotides) under uncultured bacterium. Its description in RNAcentral is "partial 16S ribosomal RNA". It matches the Rfam family "Bacterial small subunit ribosomal RNA", at positions 899 to 1397 of the family's 1533-position model. The record is from RNAcentral.
ACUCAAAGGAAUUGACGGGGACCCGCACAAGCGGUGGAGCAUGUGGAUUAAUUCGAUACUAACCGAAGAACCUUACCCAGGUUUGACAUCGAUUGUAAGCCAUUGAAAGGUGGCCCUCUCUCACAAGGAGACAUGAAGACACUUGUUGCAUGGCUGUCGUCAGCUCGUGCCGUGAGGUGUACGGUUAAGUCCGCCAACGAGCGCAACCCUCGUUCUGUGUUACCAGCAUUAAUGAUGGGGACUCACAGGAGACCGCCGGUGUAAGCCGGAGGAAGGUGGGGAUGAUGUCAAGUCAGCAUGGCAGUUACGCCUGGGGCUUCACACAUGCUACAAUGGGCGCAACAAAGGGCUGCAAUACCGCGAGGUGGAGCUAAUCCCAAAAAUACGUCCUCAGUUCAGAUUGCAGUCUGCAACUCGACUGCAUGAAGUCGGAAUCGCUAGUAAACGCAGGUCAGCUAUACUGCGUUGAAUACGUUCCCGGGUCUUGCACACACCGCCCGU